AAACUACAGCGUGAGAACUACAUAAGUUUGAGUUCUCUCUCAUUCUGCUCUCUUUGCACUGGCAAGGGAAGACCUUCAUGGGCGACUCCGGCAUUUGUCGUGAAGAGAACAACUUCCAUGGAAGCUACUGGAGGCUGAGUUCUACCAAAUUGAGGGAAUAAACCAACAGAGAAGACCUGGCAAACCAAAAUAGUAUUUCCGACCCACCAGAGAGAUAAAGGAAUACCCAUCCUGAGCUCUGGAUGUGUCCUCUGAGAAAGUACCCGUGACACAGAUCACACGGGACACCAACGCAGAUGCUGGGGGAAGGUUCCUCGACAGCUGAGUGUGGACAUGCUGAUCACUGAGCUUCUUGACACACAGCUGUUAAUCUCUCCUCUCAAGCUCAUGGAGGCUGAAGCUGCCUCCAAACAUUGAGACGUGCCACGCCAACUCACGGCAAGGUCUCUAUUAUUGAGA
Long non-coding RNA from Equus quagga, 459 nucleotides. RefSeq lists it as uncharacterized. The transcript is spliced from 3 exons. The record is from RefSeq and is a predicted model, not a curated record. NCBI's taxonomy places the organism in Eukaryota, Metazoa, Chordata, Mammalia, Perissodactyla, Equidae.